ACAAACUUUGAAAAGCAUAGAAAUGGUCAAGUCAGUUCAAUAUGGGUUAUUUUAAUAGUAGAGAAUUUUUUUUUUAUGACUAGUAUUUUUUAUUCAAAAAUUUUUUACCUGCAGUCUGGAGCUUAUUAUCUAAAAAAAUUGUUGUUUUGUUUGGCUUAAUUUUUUCUUUUGUACAAACAACAUAAAAUAGAUACAAGUCAGCAAUACGCGCAUUAUCACAACGUUUCUACUUAUUAUCAAGCGUUGGCGCUAUGAUCUAAAUUAAACAUAAAGAUGUCGAGAUUAAGGUAAAACAAAAUUUCCGAUUGAGCGCAAAAAUAUUUUUUUUGAUCAUGUUCCUUUAUGAGCGAAUAACACCCAGUUACGAUUGGUAAAAAGAGUGGUUGGAAUAAUUUUAGGGAAAAGAUUGAUUGGUGUGUGCCGUGCACAAAAAAAAGCGGCUUUCGAAAAGAGACCGAUUAAAAGUAAAUAUUGAAUUGCUGUUGGUAGUGAACUUUGGUAAACAAAAGCCAUGGAUUCAUGACCUGGAAUAGGUAAACUGCCCGGAUACCGACUCCAUACUUUACAAGUUCUUUGAUACGCUUUACUUAGGACAUCAUUGACGUCUUCUUUAGGUUUUGAUUGGCUUGAAAUUUUUGUUUUAGAGUAUUGCUGUGGAGAACAAAAUAGUGUAUCAGGAAUAACGUAUGGUCGCAGUUUCCAAUUAUGGGUUGCCAUUUCCUUUUUAAUCAAUCAAGUUAAAUAGAGAUGAUGAAUUUGACUAUGUGUUACUUUAACAAGAAAAAACUUGCUCGUUUUGACAAAAUUAAUUAUACGCCUCAAACUAAUUAUAUAUAUUGGAGAUUUAAUCAAAAAUCACACAACAAUAAAUGUAAAAACGUGGAGAGUGAAUGGCAUACAAAGUGACAAGCACUCGUCAUUUUCAGGACAACCUCAAAUGUUCAAAACGACUGUCGAUUCGUGUACCUUAUCUUUUUAUAAAAAAAAUGAAGGUAAGCGAUGCACCAUGUAAAGAUCAAUUAAAUGCAUCAAAACAAUUGAGAAAAAAAGGUGAAAGAAUUAAUGUAUGGAGUGAAAGUCAAAUUUUGAACCGGAUUAAGGAAAUUGAAACAACAUUACAAGACAAUGCUAUUUGUGAAAAAUUAUCGAAAGCACGUAAAAAAUUGCUGCGAAAACGCGUAGUUCACCUUAAAAGAGCAAUUGAAGCAAAGAUUCCAGUGGGUGGUCAACUUUUAAAGAAAAUUCGAAAACAACGUUCAAGUGUUAAAAAUGAGGUUACUGGGAAGAAGAAAUCGAAAAAAGAAUGUCUUUGUUGUAGGAAAAGAGGCCAUACGUUACAAGAAUGUCGAUAUAAUCCGGAUGCACUAAAAUCUGAAGACUUUCAUAAAAAAAUGAGAAAAAUAACGGAUGAAAAGCUUUGUAUCUGUUUUAAUUGUGGAUCGUGCUCUCAUACAUUAAAAAAUUGUUCUACACCUCGUAAAGAAAAUGGAUUCUUACCUUUUGCUAGUUGUUUUGUUUGUAGCGAAAAAGGUCACUUAUCACAAACCUGCCCGAGAAAUAAAACAGG
Long non-coding RNA from Hylaeus volcanicus, 1567 nucleotides. RefSeq lists it as uncharacterized. NCBI's taxonomy places the organism in Eukaryota, Metazoa, Arthropoda, Insecta, Hymenoptera, Colletidae. The record is from RefSeq and is a predicted model, not a curated record. The transcript is spliced from 4 exons.